Molecule: ribosomal RNA, 720 nt
Filed under: Kytococcus sp. Mg24
Lineage: Bacteria; Bacillati; Actinomycetota; Actinomycetes; Micrococcales; Kytococcaceae
Description: bacterial SSU rRNA
Rfam family: Bacterial small subunit ribosomal RNA
Source: RNAcentral
CAGUCGAACGGUGAAGCGGGUGCUUGCACUCGUGGAUCAGUGGCGAACGGGUGAGUAACACGUGAGUAACCUGCCCUCCACUCUGGGAUAAGCGCUGGAAACGGCGUCUAAUACUGGAUACGACCGACCCUCGCAUGGGGUGUUGGUGGAAAGAUUUAUCGGUGGUGGAUGGACUCGCGGCCUAUCAGCUUGUUGGUGGGGUAAUGGCCUACCAAGGCGACGACGGGUAGCCGGCCUGAGAGGGCGACCGGCCACACUGGGACUGAGACACGGCCCAGACUCCUACGGGAGGCAGCAGUGGGGAAUAUUGCACAAUGGGCGAAAGCCUGAUGCAGCGACGCCGCGUGAGGGAUGACGGCCUUCGGGUUGUAAACCUCUUUCAGCAGGGAAGAAGCUUUUGUGACGGUACCUGCAGAAGAAGCACCGGCUAACUACGUGCCAGCAGCCGCGGUAAUACGUAGGGUGCGAGCGUUGUCCGGAAUUAUUGGGCGUAAAGAGCUUGUAGGCGGUUUGUCGCGUCUGCUGUGAAAAUUCAGGGCUUAACCCUGGACGUGCAGUGGGUACGGGCAGACUAGAGUGUGGUAGGGGAGACUGGAAUUCCUGGUGUAGCGGUGGAAUGCGCAGAUAUCAGGAGGAACACCGAUGGCGAAGGCAGGUCUCUGGGCCAUUACUGACGCUGAGAAGCGAAAGCAUGGGGAGCGAACAGGAUUAGAUACCCUG